RNAcentral lists this ribosomal RNA (1426 nucleotides) under metagenome. RNAcentral's name for it is "SSU rRNA". It matches the Rfam family "Eukaryotic small subunit ribosomal RNA", at positions 380 to 1801 of the family's 1831-position model. The record is from RNAcentral.
AUUCCGGAGAAGGAGCUUGAGAAUUGGCUACUACAUCUAAGGAAGGCAGCAGGCGCGCAAAUUACCCAAUCCCGAUUCGGGGAGGUAGUGACAAAAAAUAACAAUACCGGGCCUUUUUGGGCUUGGUAAUUGGAAUGAGGGAGAGUUAAACGGACCAUCGAGUAUCCAUUGGAGGGCAAGUCUGGUGCCAGCAGCUGCGGUAAUACCAGCUCCAAUAGCGUAUAUUAAAGUUGUUGCAGUUAAAAAGCUCGUAGUUGGACUUGUGUGCGCUGUCCGCGGGUGGCCUGCGCCCAAAAGGGCGUUUCGGUUCGGCCCCGGUGGCGCCUUGAAAUCUGCAGCUGGGGGGACGUUGGCCUUAACUGGUCGGCGACCGCACGCCGGCUGCUCGGUUACUGUGAGAAAAUUAGAGUGUUCAAGGCAGGCAUUGGGUGCAAUUGAAUACAUUAGCAUGGAAUAAUAAAAUAUGGCUCCUGCCGUAUUUUGUUGGUUUUGACUGGUGGGAGUAAUGAUUGAUAGGGACGGUUGGGGGUGCUAGUAUUGAGCGGCCAGAGGUGAAAUUCAUGGAUUCGCUCAAGACUAACUUAUGCGAAAGCAUUCACCAAGGACGUCCUCUUUAAUCAAGAACGAAAGUUGGGGGAUCGAAGACGAUCAGAUACCGUCGUAGUCUCAACCAUAAACUAUGUCGACUUGGGAUCGGCGGUAGUUUUUUCAUUAAGACACUGUCGGGACCACGGGAGAAAUCAAAGUGUCUGGACUCUGGGGGAAGUAUGGUCGCAAGGCUGAAACUUGAAGGAAUUGACGGAAGGGCACCACCAGGAGUGGAGCCUGCGGCUUAAUUUGACAACACGGGGAAACUUACCAGGUCCAGAGAUGUAGAGGAUUGACAGAUUGAAGCUCUUUCUUGAUCACUUCGGUGGUGGUGCAUGGCCGUUCUUAGUUGGUGGAGUGAUUUGUCUGGUUAAUUCCGUUAACGAACGAGACCUCAGCCUGCUAGUGUAGUCGGCUGGAUUGCCUUUGGCGAUCCGUGAUUUCGACUUCUUAGAGGGACAAUCGACGCGCAGUCGAUGGAAGUUUGAGGCAAUAACAGGUCUGUGAUGCCCUUAGAUGUUCUGGGCCGCAUGCGCGCUACACUGCUGGGCUCAGCGAGUUUUACUUGGCCGAGAGGCCCGGUUAAUCUUGUGAAAUCCCAGCGUGCUUGGGCUCGCCUCCUGCAACUGGGGGCGCCAACGAGGAAUUCCUAGUAGACGCAGGUCAUCAACCUGCAUCGAUUACGUCCCUGCCCUUUGUACACACCGCCCGUCGUUCCAUAAGAGUGAGGCAUCCGGUGAAUUCUCGGGAGAGCCUGGGCGUGGCCAGCAAUGGUCUGCUCGGGUUUGAACUUGCAUAAACUUGGUGCCUAUGAUUAGGGAAAAGUCGUAACAAGGUU